GUCCUAGCUGUAAACGAUGUAGACCAGAUGUGGGGGGUAUCGACCCCCUCCGUGUCGACGCUAACGCAUUAAGUCUACCGCCUGGGGAGUACGGCCGCAAGGUUGAAAACUCAAAGGAAUUGACGGGGACCCGCACAAGCGGUGGAGUAUGUGGUUUAAUUCGACGCAACGCGAAAAACCUUACCUAGGCUCGAACGACUGGAAGUAAGAUCUAGGAAACUAGAGAUGACUUGUAAAGUCAGGAACCAGCCGAGGUGCUGCAUGGUUGUCGU
RNAcentral lists this ribosomal RNA (272 nucleotides) under uncultured bacterium. RNAcentral's name for it is "partial 16S ribosomal RNA". It matches the Rfam family "Bacterial small subunit ribosomal RNA", at positions 793 to 1055 of the family's 1533-position model. The record is from RNAcentral.